RNAcentral lists this non-coding RNA (46 nucleotides) under Lentisphaera araneosa HTCC2155. RNAcentral's name for it is "Acido-Lenti-1 RNA". It matches the Rfam family "Acido-Lenti-1 RNA". The record is from Rfam by way of RNAcentral. Lineage: Bacteria; Pseudomonadati; Lentisphaerota; Lentisphaeria; Lentisphaerales; Lentisphaeraceae.
CCUAGUUCUGACGAAUUAGGCUCAGCUAUGCCGUGCUUUCAGCACU